AUGGCUGACCUGCCCAAUCGCCGAUGGAUUCCUUCUCCAAACAGUACAAUGGCCACUCCCGCUCUGCCUCAGACCUCCCUUCUCCCCCACACGGCGAAUGUCCUGCUCCCUACCACGCCCAUACCGUUCUUUCUCCCCUGGAUGCAUCUGGUCUCUCUUCAAUUACAGGUCAGCACCAGCGCUGCAAACAAAAAAAGGUCAGCAUCUGGUCCUCCAGAAGUUCAGUGUGUUGAUUUUUUGAAGAUCAUGAAGUGGACUAUAACUAUGUAUAUUUUGCAGGGCCUUGUGAUAGGGCAUCCAUCUUUUUUCAUCGAGGUCGACAUCGUCCAUCUGCGUCGAGGCCACCCUGCCAUUGUAAAAUUCUGCUCUCAAAGGUGUCUGUUAUUGUGUAGUUUCAGAAAUCCUUCAGGAAAAAAUGCAAAAGAAAAAUGGAGCAGGAGUCACAGGCCUCAAGCCCUCUCUCCACUUCGUGGCUUCUUGUUCUCAAAGCACAAGUUGCUACUGCUACUAUUAGUAAAUUGCUUCUGCUCACUAUAA
This 537-nucleotide ribosomal RNA is filed under the name Triticum aestivum (bread wheat). Its description in RNAcentral is "partial small subunit ribosomal RNA". Lineage: Eukaryota; Viridiplantae; Streptophyta; Magnoliopsida; Poales; Poaceae. The record is from RNAcentral.